Molecule: transfer RNA, 67 nt
Filed under: Tetractenos glaber (smooth toadfish)
Lineage: Eukaryota; Metazoa; Chordata; Actinopteri; Tetraodontiformes; Tetraodontidae
Description: tRNA-Ser(AGY)
Source: RNAcentral
GAAAGAGGCCCGCGGCACUGAAGACUGCUAAUCCUCACCCCCUCGGUUGGACUCCGAGGCUCAUUCA